Molecule: long non-coding RNA, 3610 nt
Organism: Cydia pomonella (codling moth)
Lineage: Eukaryota; Metazoa; Arthropoda; Insecta; Lepidoptera; Tortricidae
Exons: 2
Source: RefSeq, a predicted model, not a curated record
CAUUCCACGACUCUUCUCUUUCCGAACAGACUCUAAUUUUAUACCAAUACAGAACCCUGAUAUAAACACAACCAUGCUUUCUUCAAUGGAGAUGGAUUACGUUCGCAAUUGCGUUUGGAUUAGAUGCUUAUAAAUAGAAAGCUACAAAUUACAUACUAUGCUUCAUUAUCAGAAUUGGAAUCGGAAUCUGGCGUCUUUUUGAACAUGCUGCUGUUGAAUUUGUUAAACUUCAAAAAACAGUAGUACAGUAAACAUACCCCGAAAACAGUAGAUUCCCUGUAAAAACAGGAGAUCUGGCAACACUGCUCGAAUGUUGGAAAUUGGAGGGGAGGCGUUGCCGCGAAAUAAUAAUAUCGAAUUAUCGAUCAAAAUACUUCAUUAUGGAUGUACAUCAAUGUUAACUAAAUAAUACAAAUGUAUUGUAUUAAAUAAUUAAGAACAUAUUAAUUUUAUUUUCUAUAGUCUGCCAAAUCGUGCGUAAUGAGCUCGAUAAAAUUAAAAUUAUAGUCAAGAGAUGUACGUAUACAUAUACUCGUAUUUAUUCCGAGUUGUUACAUUGAAAUUAUAGAUCGUAUAAUAAAAAUAAAAUAUAAAGGUAGUUUUACGCGAUUAAUGCCGUCAUCGGUAACGUCGAGUGACUGUCGUAAAAUAUAUUUUUUGAAUAAUGAGUUCUGUUAUUGACCCGUAAUUCACUUGACCAGCUUAGGCGAGUUCGUGCUGUCUCUUGUGUUUGGCAUAGAAACAGCAGAGAUAUAUAUAUAUAAACUCCUUUCCUUUUAUACAACGUUUACUUUUGGGUCAUAUUUCGAGGACAUUUGUAUGAUAGAUAGGAAGGUAUUUUGAGGCCAAUUAACAUGAAUAUUGUGAACAGUAAGUUAUGUAAGGUAAACAUAACGGUUACAGAUGUACCUUUAACUCAUAAUUCAUAAAAAAAAUAUGUAUCGUUAAACUAGCUAAAACACCGGUUAACGGCCCUCACUCAGGUCUAGUUUCGGCCCUCAGCGCACCGCGAAAACCGAUUUUGGAAAAUUGCGGGGAUCUUUCUCCUUUACUCUCACUAAGACCUAAUUAGAGUGACAGAGAAAAAUGCUUGCAAUCGACGAACUUCGAUUUUCGCGGUUAUAGCCCUGAGGGCCUACCGCGAACCACGUUCGACGUGUUGCCUCUCUGUCGCACUUGUGAAUUCGUACGUAAGUGUGACAGGGAGGCAACACGUCGAACGUGGUUCGCGGUAGGCCCUCUGUUAAUUCUGUUAUCGCCAACUUAAUUCACCAGAAAUAUGACUUCUCAAUUGGAUUCAUACAUGAAGUUUAAAUUUGAACGAAAUAUUUUUUAUUCGGAUGAUUCAAAGAUUUUAUUUGUACAACAUAGGUAGAUUGCAAGAUGUUACAUAGACUUUGGGUAUUACUAUGUCGUGCCUAUUGGGCAUACAAAUUUAAUAAAAAUACACGCUCGAAUCAUAGACCGAUUACACGGUACGGUAUAGAUUGUUACGGUUAUAUCAUGUUACAAAUGCAUUUCCGUUAUUAAAUUAUCAUUGCUUAAAAUAAUAAGUAAAAAGUACAAAAAUUGCGCGCGAAAAGCUAAUGAGCGAAACGCGACGCGACGCCAUUGAUUGAAACGUUACGUGACGUCAUCCAUGGUUUGUUAGUUAGUUUUGUUCUGCCGCUUCUUCGACGAACUUCUGCGACGCACCCAUUUUGAAAGAAAUCUGGUAUAAAAACCGGCCAAGUGCGAGUCGGACUCGCGCACGAAGGGUUUCGUACCAUUAUUUAUAAAAACGGCAAAAAAAUAUGUUUGUUGUUUGGGAGCCCCCCUUAAGAGGCUGUCAACACCCAAUGUCCUUGAAAUUGAUGUUACUUAAACAGUUUUUUAAGAAAGACUAUUUGUUUUAGUCAAGUAAGAAAAAUAUAUGUUCAUAUUAAUUAUAUUUCAAAGACCGUGGUUGUACUCGAUACAUGAUUGAACGAAAUCGGCUCGAUAGAAAAUAAUUGCAAAGAUUGGUCUUAAAAUCACAAUUAAACGGUUCUGUCUUUAUUGUUGACUUAUGGGUCUGCAAUUAAAAUCACAAUUUCAAAACAUUUAUAUCUAAACCGCUAUUGAGUAAAAUAUUACACUAAUAAUCCUUUUUUUUUAUUUAAAUAUUUUUCUUAUUAUUCCCUUGCCCAGGCCCAGUAACAUGCGACAGUGCUAUCUCAUUUACUUCGAUACAAAUAGACAGUGUGCGCGCUUUAGGUAUUGACAGCCUCUUAAAUAUUUAUUUUAUUCCGUUUUUAGUAUUUGUUGUUAUAGCGGCAACAGAAAUACAUAAUCUGUAGAAAUUUCAACUGGCUAACUAUCACUGUUCAUGAGAUACAGCCUGGUGACAGAUGGACGGACGGACGGACAGCGAAGUCUUAGUAAUAGGGUCCCGUUUGACCCUUUGGGUACGGAACCGUAAAAAUGUAUUUUUGUCGCGGUUUAGCUAUUCAAAAUGUUUUUAUAUCUCAUCUGUUAGUUUCAACUAAUUUUUGAUAAACACUUGGUUGAGUUUAAGUUUAAAUACAUUUAUUAAUUAAAUAUGUCCUCUAUUUGUUCCUUGUUACGUCGAUAAAGUGUUUUAUCAAUAGCUAGCUUAUUUUGCAUUACACAUUAUUUCCUGAUGCUUUCUAUCAUUGUAGGUUUGUAUCACGACUUACCUAAAAAAUGUGAAGAAAUAAGUAUUUGAACGGGCGCUAAGAGUGUCAAACAACAGCGCGCCUGUAUUUUCUGACUACGUUCUGCUUCUAUCAAUAAUAUUAUAAAAAAUAACUACAGUGAGCGUCCAUUGGAAUAAGUUUUGUUCCUGGAAGAAAACAACACCAUAAAUACAAUACAAUGAGAAUGACGGAGUGUUCGUGCAAUGGCUAUCAGACAAUCUGUCAUGCAUCGAUGCUUUUAUGAUGUCUAUAAUUAUAUAUCGCGACCUAUUGAAAAUACUUCAUUUCUCUGACAUAGGAGCUACGAGUAUGUGCAAGGUGUACAGCAAAAGUAGCUGGUAAAACUAUAGAACUGUGAUGAUACAUACGCGUAGAUGAUGUGGCAGAAUUAAAAGGUUCAAACGCACAUGAGGCUGCCUAGGUGAAUGUUCUGGAUGUGACUUUAAUAUGGACUAUAAGUAUAAAGGAAGAUACAUUAUGUAUGAAAAGGGACCUUAAUGUCGGUGGCGCUUACGCCGUUAUCAACGGUGCUCCCAUAUUAUAAACAACGCUGUGCUACGCAGUGCGGCGUAAGCACCAUCGACAAUAAGGUCCCCGGUUCAUAGAUAAUGUCACAUUUGAAGAAUAGUGUUAUGCAGUGCAGUGGAACUUUUUAAAGUAAUACGAACAAAAAGCUACGCCUUGGUAGUGAAAGUUAUAUGUACAGUUGAUAAAACACCAAAACUUAAGUAAUCUUUACUAUAACUGCUCUGAACAACAUAUCAAUGCAAUUUUCAACUAAAACAGGCCCAGGUAACUGUAUAUUCUCAAAAUGUUAUAAUCAUAGAGUUAUGUAGAUUAUGCUAGAUAAAUGUAAACAUUUGCUAGAAAAAUGCAUGUUGUGAAAUGCAGCAAUCCUUCCCGAGGUGGUUUUAAUAAAUAAUAAUAAAGUA